Elaeis guineensis (African oil palm) is the source of this 783-nucleotide long non-coding RNA. RefSeq lists it as uncharacterized. Lineage: Eukaryota; Viridiplantae; Streptophyta; Magnoliopsida; Arecales; Arecaceae. The record is from RefSeq and is a predicted model, not a curated record.
CGUCUCGUCAAAUUUCCGUUCGACGAUGAUCUCAAGACUGGAUCAAGGGCUCGGUGAUUGGACAGUUUGGAAUGAUGAGCCCAAGCUGCGAUGAAAGCUCCCGUUCGCUGCAAAUGGUGAGGCAUACGGAGUUGCUGCACGAGAAAAUAUUCCUUCGAAGUAGCGUCCCGCUUUGUCUGGGCUGCGCGCCAGGACCACCGCCGGUGCGUGGCCCUCCAAUGUGCUUGGCGUGCUAAUUAUUGUUGAUACGGCGUGGCUACGAGGGCGCAUGCAAUCAGGCGUAGGGAAAUUGAGCUCGCAGCUCUUUGGCUACGUACCAUGGAAUUUCUAUAUUCAAAUUUUUGUAAACAAAUGAGUUUUUUUUUUUUUAAAUUACUAAGAGGGCCAUUCUCUGCCGUCUAUCCUCCACCCACCCAAUCUUUGUCUGAGUUGGAGCUAUGGAUAAAUUGAUGCAUUGGUGGCGAAAAUGUGCAUUUAUGUAAUAAAGGCCGGAGAAAUGGUUGGGGCCUUUUGGAAUCAAACCACUGCUCUUGCGGCGAGCGAGCCAUUGAUAUGAAGAGGUCUGGUCAUGAAUGUUAGGUCAUCUGUGGUUGACGUCUGAUUUGCAAUGUAAUGGAUCUGUAAUGAAAAAAAUCUGAUCUCGAAUUAUAGAUUAUUUGUGACUGACGUAUGAUCUUGCCUACCAUGCCAAUUAGCGAUAGUCCAUAAUUAAGAUCUGAAUUAUCUUUUGUAUGCCCUAAUAUGGACUGCAAAGCAUCUUGAUUCUAAAAAUUAUUUUUUUUU